GGCCUGUGUGACAUCAUAAACGAGGGAGCCAGCGGAUGCCGAUGCUUCUCUGGUGAGCCAGGCGGCCUGGACCCUCCUCGCUUCCGAGAGGGACGCCUGAGCUAAGCGUGCAAGACGGCGCCAGGCCUGGUCUGCAGGAUCCAAGGAGACCCCGCGUCGCACCGACCCACGGGGCAAAUGUCAAAAAGCAUGACAACCCCGCGCACCGGAGAAGAUAACACAGGACCGCAGUGACUGCACGGCGGUGGAAAGGAAAAAUCCAGAAAGCAGAAGGGUGUCAGGAGGCCUGAGUCUUCCAAGGGUGCCCCAUGGGGCAGCGGCUGUCCUACCCUGUAGAGGUAGUUUCGCAGGAGUGAAUCACCGGCAGCACCAACGGCCAGCUCCAGAGCCUGACAGUCCUGAGCACAGGAGGAAAAUAUAUCCACACCAUAUCUUGAGCUAUUUGAAUACAAAACCCGUUGAGAGACUCAAAA
Non-coding RNA from Ictidomys tridecemlineatus (thirteen-lined ground squirrel), 473 nucleotides. NCBI's taxonomy places the organism in Eukaryota, Metazoa, Chordata, Mammalia, Rodentia, Sciuridae. The record is from RefSeq and is a predicted model, not a curated record.